GCCGGGUGUGGUGGCUCACACCUGUAAUCCCAGCACUUUGGGAGGCUGAGGUGGGUGGAUCACCUGAGGUCAGGAGUUCGAGACAAGCCUGGCCAACAUGGAGAAACCCCAUCUCUA
RNAcentral lists this non-coding RNA (117 nucleotides) under Nomascus leucogenys (northern white-cheeked gibbon). The record is from Rfam by way of RNAcentral. Lineage: Eukaryota; Metazoa; Chordata; Mammalia; Primates; Hylobatidae.